RNAcentral lists this ribosomal RNA (330 nucleotides) under uncultured eukaryote. RNAcentral describes it as "partial 18S ribosomal RNA". It matches the Rfam family "Eukaryotic small subunit ribosomal RNA", at positions 1470 to 1796 of the family's 1831-position model. The record is from RNAcentral.
CCCUUAGAUGUUCGGGGCCGCACGCGCGCUACACUGAAGGAAUCAGCACGUCUUUCUCCUUGUCCGAAAGGACUGGGUAACCCGCUGAACCUCCUUCGUGCUAGGGAUUGGGGCUUGUAAUUCUUCCCCAUGAACGAGGAAUUCCCAGUAAGCGCGAGUCAUAAGCUCGCGUUGAUUACGUCCCUGCCCUUUGUACAUACCGCCCGUCGCUACUACCGAUUGGAUGGUUUAGUGAGAUCCUCGGAUUGGUCCCGGCGCGGCCUCUGGUCGUGCCGGAGUGCCGAAAAGAAUGUCGAACUUGAUCAUCUAGAGGAAGUAAAAGUCGUAACA